This 446-nucleotide ribosomal RNA is filed under the name uncultured organism. Its description in RNAcentral is "partial 16S ribosomal RNA". It matches the Rfam family "Bacterial small subunit ribosomal RNA", at positions 333 to 796 of the family's 1533-position model. The record is from RNAcentral.
ACACUCCUGCGGGAGGCAGCAGUGGGGAAUAUUGGACAAUGGGCGCAAGCCUGAUCCAGCCAUGCCGCGUGAGUGAUGAAGGCCCUAGGGUUGUAAAGCUCUUUCACCGGUGAAGAUAAUGACGGUAACCGGAGAAGAAGCCCCGGCUAACUUCGUGCCAGCAGCCGCGGUAAUACGAAGGGGGCUAGCGUUGUUCGGAUUUACUGGGCGUAAAGCGCACGUAGGCGGACUAUUAAGUCAGGGGUGAAAUCCCGGGGCUCAACCCCGGAACUGCCUUUGAUACUGGUAGUCUUGAGUUCGAGAGAGGUGAGUGGAAUUCCGAGUGUAGAGGAGAAAUUCGUAGAUAUUCGGAGGAACACCAGUGGCGAAGGCGGCUCACUGGCUCGAUACUGACGCUGAGGUGCGAAAGCGUGGGGAGCAAACAGGAUGAGAAACCCCAGUAGUCC